Molecule: ribosomal RNA, 483 nt
Filed under: Erysipelotrichaceae bacterium canine oral taxon 317
Lineage: Bacteria; Bacillati; Bacillota; Erysipelotrichia; Erysipelotrichales; Erysipelotrichaceae
Description: bacterial SSU rRNA
Rfam family: Bacterial small subunit ribosomal RNA
Source: RNAcentral
GAGUUUGAUUCUGGCUCAGGAUAAACGCUGGCGGCGUGCCUAAUACAUGCAAGUCGAACGGACGGAAGGAGAGCUUGCUUUCCUAAAGUCAGUGGCGAACGGGUGAGUAAUACAUAAGCAACCUGCCUAUAAGGACUGGGAUAACGUUUGGAAACGAACGCUAAGACCGGAUAGGUAGUGACGGGGCAUCCUGUUACUAUUAAAGGUUAGAGACACAAAUAGAUGGGCUUAUGGCGUAUUAGCUAGUUGGUGAGGUAACGGCCCACCAAGGCGAUGAUACGUAGCCGACCUGAGAGGGUGAUCGGCCACAUUGGGACUGAGACACGGCCCAAACUCCUACGGGAGGCAGCAGUAGGGAAUUUUCGGCAAUGGGCGAAAGCCUGACCGAGCAACGCCGCGUGAGUGAAGACGGCCUUCGGGUUGUAAAGCUUCUGUUGUAAAGGAAGAACGACUGGAAUAGAAUUUUCAGAGUGACGUACUUAU